RNAcentral lists this ribosomal RNA (303 nucleotides) under uncultured bacterium. Its description in RNAcentral is "bacterial SSU rRNA". It matches the Rfam family "Bacterial small subunit ribosomal RNA", at positions 775 to 1066 of the family's 1533-position model. The record is from RNAcentral.
AGUCAAUAGAUACCCGGGUAGUCCUAGCCCUAAACGGUGCGUGUUUGCUGUAAAGGAAUCGACCCCUUUUGUGGCGAAAGCUAAACGCGUUAAAAACACGCCGCCUGGGGAGUACGGUCGCAAGAUUAAAACUCAAAGAAAUUGACGGGGGCCUGCACAAGCGGUGGAGUAUGUGGCUUAAUUCGAUGCAACGCGAAGAACCUUACCUGGCCUUGACAUGCAAGUGGUAGAACCAUGAAAGUGGGAACGAUCCCGNAACGGAAGGCUUGCACAGGUGCUGCAUGGCUGUCGUCAGCUCGUGUC